This 1291-nucleotide ribosomal RNA is filed under the name Haplonycteris fischeri (Philippine pygmy fruit bat). RNAcentral's name for it is "partial 16S ribosomal RNA". It matches the Rfam family "Bacterial large subunit ribosomal RNA", at positions 681 to 2724 of the family's 2925-position model. The record is from RNAcentral. Lineage: Eukaryota; Metazoa; Chordata; Mammalia; Chiroptera; Pteropodidae.
ACUUUGACAGAGAGAACUUUAGCCAAAUACCCCGAAACCAGACGAGCUACCCAAGAGCAGCUAAAGAGCAAACUCAUCUAUGUGGCAAAAUAGUGAGAANGACUCGUGGGUAGAGGUGAAAAGCCUAUCGAGCCUGGUGAUAGCUGGUUGUCCAGAACAGAAUUUAAGUUCAACUUUAAGCCAUGCCCAAAAGACUAAAAACUUAGAUGCAGGCUUAAAAUAUAAUCUAAAAGGGUACAGCCUUUUAGACUCAGGAUACAACCUUCAAUAGAGAGUAAGUAUACUAAAUCCCCAUAGUUGGCCUAAAAGCAGCCACCAAUUAAGAAAGCGUUCAAGCUCAAAUACCACAAAACCUUAAUCCAAUUAGUAAGCAUACGAACUCCUAACUUAAUACUGGACCAUUCUAUAACAAUAUAGAAGAGACACUGUUAAUAUGAGUAACAAGAAUAAAAUUCUCCUUGCACAAGCUUAUAUCAGAACGGAUACUCCACUGAUAGUUAACAACAAGAUAAAUCCACACCACAUAUAAAACAUUUAUCAAACCAACUGUUAGCCCAACACAGGAGUGCACUAAGGAAAGAUUAAAAGAAGUAAAAGGAACUCGGCAAACACAAACCCCGCCUGUUUACCAAAAACAUCACCUCCAGCAUAACAACUAUUGGAGGCACUGCCUGCCCAGUGACACUAGUUAAACGGCCGCGGUAUCCUGACCGUGCAAAGGUAGCAUAAUCAUUUGUUCUCUAAAUAAGGACUUGCAUGAAUGGCCACACGAGGGUUUUACUGUCUCUUACUUCCAAUCAGUGAAAUUGACCUUCCCGUGAAGAGGCGGGAAUCAAUAAAUAAGACGAGAAGACCCUAUGGAGCUUCAAUCAACUAGCCCAUAAGCAAAUAAUGAUCAUCCAAGGAGACAAAAACUGCAUUACUGGACUAGCGAUUUGGGUUGGGGUGACCUCGGAAUACAAAACAACUUCCGAGUGAUUAAAACCUAGACUUACAAGUCAAAGCAACUAAUCACUUAUUGAUCCAAAAACUUGAUCAACGGAACAAGUUACCCUAGGGAUAACAGCGCAAUCCUAUUUGAGAGUCCAUAUCGAUAAUAGGGUUUACGACCUCGAUGUUGGAUCAGGACAUCCCAAUGGUGCAGCCGCUAUUAAUGGUUCGUUUGUUCAACGAUUAAAGUCCUACGUGAUCUGAGUNUCAGACCGGAGCAAUCCAGGUCGGUUUCUAUCUAUUUUGCGUUCCUCCCAGUACGAAAGGACAAGAGUAACAGGGCCAACUUAACAUAAGCACC